This 27-nucleotide non-coding RNA is filed under the name Homo sapiens (human). The record is from RNAcentral. Lineage: Eukaryota; Metazoa; Chordata; Mammalia; Primates; Hominidae.
GAGGAUUCCAUUGGUUACUUGAGGUAC